GGGAGCAGACACUAGGCAAUGAUGUCAUCGUCCCGGCGGAGUAACAACACAAAGUGACUGUUUGAGCCAGCCAGCAGGAGGAGGAGACUGGAGCACCUUCGCUCCUCAGCGCAUCCUCUACCUGGAUCUUCAUGAUGUCAUCGUCCCCAAAGGCCGUGCAGGACGUACCCGGAGUUGCAGGUGAUGGUGCAGCGGUCUCCAUUGAAGAACUGGCGGCCGAGACUACUGCACUUGAGCUCUGCAUUGCGGAUUAAGGGUUCCUGGCAGU
Long non-coding RNA from Thalassophryne amazonica, 268 nucleotides. RefSeq lists it as uncharacterized. The transcript has 3 exons. The record is from RefSeq and is a predicted model, not a curated record. NCBI's taxonomy places the organism in Eukaryota, Metazoa, Chordata, Actinopteri, Batrachoidiformes, Batrachoididae.